UACGGAGGGUGCAAGCGUUGUCCGGAUUUAUUGGGUUUAAAGGGUGCGUAGGCGGUUAAUUAAGUCAGUGGUGAAAUCCUGGAGCUCAACUUCAGAACUGCCAUUGAUACUGGUUGACUUGAGUACAGACGAGGUUGGCGGAAUUGAUGGUGUAGCGGUGAAAUGCAUAGAUACCAGCAAGAACACCGAUUGCGAAGGCAGCUAACUAGGCUGUAACUGACGCUGAGGCACGAAAGUGUGGGGAGCAAACAGG
Molecule: ribosomal RNA, 253 nt
Filed under: uncultured bacterium
Lineage: Bacteria
Description: partial 16S ribosomal RNA
Rfam family: Bacterial small subunit ribosomal RNA
Source: RNAcentral